AUGGGGCUCCACCUGCUGGUGGCGUUCGCGGCGGCGAGGGGCUUCGCGCAGGUGCUCCACGUCUCGGUGCGGUUGCUGUGGCCGCUCAACACCUGGCUGCCGCUCGCCUGCCACAUGCCAGAGGCCUGCGCAGUCGUCUGCGGCGCGCUCGCCGCCCACCUCGCCUGGCUGCGCCGCGCCUACGCGCGCGGCGGCAACGACUACGACGUCCUCCGCCAGGCGCUGCUGGACGUCUUCUACUGA
This 243-nucleotide ribosomal RNA is filed under the name Triticum aestivum (bread wheat). Its description in RNAcentral is "partial small subunit ribosomal RNA". Lineage: Eukaryota; Viridiplantae; Streptophyta; Magnoliopsida; Poales; Poaceae. The record is from RNAcentral.